CUUUGAUUCCUUUGUACAAGCUUGGCCUAUUUUAUACUCUUUCCUAGCAUUUCCUACCCAGUGGUCCUCACUGAGUUACACCAUGCCUCUCCCUGGUCUGCUUGGCACCUUGAUUUUCAUCUAACUUAAUAUUUAGAAUUGCCAACAGGUUUUACCAUCUCAUAGUAGGAGCUGCUUGGAAGAGAUACUCAAAAUGAAAAACAUCUCGUCAUGAAGAACAUGAGAAUCAACUCUCAACACAAAAGAAAAUAAAAUCUAGAGGUGGAGACAAAGCAGUCAGAUAGUCACCCAGUUUCUGGUACAUGCCAAGUACAACUUCUCUCUUCAGAGAAACACCUAAUCUUCAACCACCACCACAGACUCCUUGAUUGGAUUGUCAGCCUUUCCUUAGACAGAGUGGGCAGGAAUGCAAGGCUGGGAAUUGGAAGAAUAAAGACCUAAUCUAACAAAUGGUUUCAGUAAUGCUUGAGAUCUCAGGUGAGGUUUGAAUUUAAAUUACAUAAUCCCUAAGAUUCUACAGAGGUAGUGUAGCACACUGUUGAAGAUUACAGAGUUUAGAGACAGCUAACUUGAGUUCAAAUCUCCCAGUUCUGACACUUAAUAGCUGUAUAACUUUAGGCAGGUUGCUUAAAGCCUCUGUUUCCUCACCUAGCAAAUGAAAUAAAAAUAACACCUAC
Molecule: long non-coding RNA, 677 nt
Filed under: Sus scrofa (pig)
Lineage: Eukaryota; Metazoa; Chordata; Mammalia; Artiodactyla; Suidae
Description: lncRNA (ENSSSCG00070028527.1)
Source: RNAcentral